GAUGAAGAACGCAGCGAAAUGCGAUAAGUAAUGUGAAUUGCAGAAUUCAGUGAAUCAUCGAAUCUUUGAACGCACCUUGCACCCUUUGGCAUUCCGAAGGGUAUGCUCGUUUGAGUGUCAUUGUACUCUCACACUUCUGAUCCUUUGGAUUGGGAGCGGUGGACUUGGGUGUUGCUGCUUUACUGUGGCUCACCUCAAAUGCAUUCGUGCAACUCUUGGUUGGACAUAGUACGGCGUGAUAAGUAUCUUCGCCGGCACCUCGCAAGAGGGUGGCUGAUCAGGAGCUCUGUGCUUUCCAACUGUCUUCAGACAACAACUGACAACUUGACCUCAAAUCGAGUAGGACCACCCGCUGAACUUAAGCAUAUCAAUAAGCGGGGGA
This 382-nucleotide unclassified non-coding RNA is filed under the name soil metagenome. Its description in RNAcentral is "partial contains 5.8S ribosomal RNA, internal transcribed spacer 2, and large subunit ribosomal RNA". The stretch from base 1 to 120 matches the Rfam family "5.8S ribosomal RNA", at positions 35 to 154 of the family's 154-position model. The record is from RNAcentral.